GCCUUAUCUUAAAGAAUCAGCUUUCAAGUGCCUUCCUGCAGUUUCCCGGGAGUACAAGAUAGGUU
Regulatory RNA element from Loxodonta africana (African savanna elephant), 65 nucleotides. The record is from Rfam. Lineage: Eukaryota; Metazoa; Chordata; Mammalia; Proboscidea; Elephantidae.